This 440-nucleotide ribosomal RNA is filed under the name uncultured bacterium. Its description in RNAcentral is "partial 16S ribosomal RNA". It matches the Rfam family "Bacterial small subunit ribosomal RNA", at positions 338 to 795 of the family's 1533-position model. The record is from RNAcentral.
CCUACGGGAGGCAGCAGUGGGGAAUAUUGCACAAUGGGGGAAACCCUGAUGCAGCGACGCCGCGUGAAGGAAGAAGUAUUUCGGUAUGUACACUUCUAUCAGCAGGGAAGAAAAUGACGGUACCUGACUAAGAAGCCCCGGCUAACUACGUGCCAGCAGCCGCGGUAAUACGUAGGGGGCAAGCGUUAUCCGGAUUUACUGGGUGUAAAGGGAGCGUAGGCGGCGAUGCAAGUCAGAAGUGAAAGCCCGGGGCUCAACUCCGGGACUGCUUUUGAAACUGUGUUGCUAGAGUGCAGGAGAGGUAGGUGGAAUUCGUAGUGUAGCGGUGAAAUGCGUAGAUAUUAGGAGGAACACCAGUGGCGAAGGCAGCUUACUGGACUGUAAAUGACGCUGAGGCUCGAAAGCGUGGGGAGCAAACAGGAUUAGAUACCCUUGUAGUC